CCUACGGGAGGCAGCAGUGAGGAAUAUUGGUCAAUGGGCGCGAGCCUGAACCAGCCAAGUCGCGUGAGGGAAGACGGUCCUAUGGAUUGUAAACCUCUUUUGUCGGGGAGCAAAAGACGCCACGCGUGGCGUUCCGAGAGUACCCGAAGAAAAAGCAUCGGCUAACUCCGUGCCAGCAGCCGCGGUAAUACGGAGGAUGCGAGCGUUAUCCGGAUUUAUUGGGGUUAAAGGGUGCGCAGGCGGAGGAUCAAGUCAGCGGUAAAAUUGAGAGGCUCAACCUCGUCGAGCCGUUGAAACUGGUUUGCUUGAGUGAGCGAGAGGUAUGCGGAAUGCGUGGUGUAGCGGUGAAAUGCAUAGAUAUCACGCAGAACUCCGAUUGCGAAGGCAGCAUACCGGCGCUCAACUGACGCUCAUGCACGAAAGUGUGGGUAUCGAACAGGAUUAGAUACCCCAGUAGUC
Molecule: ribosomal RNA, 459 nt
Filed under: uncultured bacterium
Lineage: Bacteria
Description: partial 16S ribosomal RNA
Rfam family: Bacterial small subunit ribosomal RNA
Source: RNAcentral